This 473-nucleotide ribosomal RNA is filed under the name uncultured bacterium. RNAcentral's name for it is "bacterial SSU rRNA". It matches the Rfam family "Bacterial small subunit ribosomal RNA", at positions 335 to 798 of the family's 1533-position model. The record is from RNAcentral.
ACUCCUACGGGAGGCAGCAGUGGGGAAUAUUGCACAAUGGGCGCAAGCCUGAUGCAGCCAUGCCGCGUGUAUGAAGAAGGCCUUCGGGUUGUAAAGUACUUUCAGCAGUGAGGAAGGUGGGUAUGUUAAUAGCAUACUCAUUUGACGUUAGCUGCAGAAGAAGCACCGGCUAACUCCGUGCCAGCAGCCGCGGUAAUACGGAGGGUGCGAGCGUUAAUCGGAAUUACUGGGCGUAAAGCGCAUGCAGGUGGUUUGUUAAGUCAGAUGUGAAAGCCCGGGGCUCAACCUCGGAAUUGACAUUUGAAACUGGCAAACUAGAGUACUGUANAGGGGGGUAGAAUUUCAGGUGUAGCGGUGAAAUGCGUAGAGAUCUGAAGGAAUACCGGUAGGCGAAAGGCGGCCCCCUGGACAGAUACUGACACUCAGAUGCGAAAGCGUGGGAGCAAACAGGAUUAGAUACCCUGGUAGGCUCU